CUCUCCUUCAUCUAGGUUUCAACAACUUCUCCUCUAAAAUCGCUGCAGAUUCCUUCCUUCCUCUCUACCCGGAAAAAGCUGCCCUCGAUUCCACACGGCCGUCGUUUCCCCUACUGUUCUUGCAUGACCCGAAGAGCAGAUUUUGUCGUGCUCUACUCUUCUUAUUAUAGGCGACGCUGCUCGAGUGCUUUUGUGGGCAACUCGCCAAUGGUCCAUCAGAUCGUUCUUAUUAAGACAUCCAGGUGGUGGCGACAGGCGAGUAACUCAUGCUACACUGCUACGUCGCACGAUGCACAGGUUACUGGAUAGGAUGUUCGCUGCUGGAAGAGAACCGGCGGCUGGAAGAAACGAACCUAUGGAUGGCAUUAACAGGUGAUGAUGGAAGGAUGGGAAGUGACAUAGCAAGAGAAAAGAAGCAGGCUUCAUGUGCAACGCUGUUGAACUGACUAUCAUGUAGAAGUCGCUUCCUCUAUCCUUUACUUUCUCCCAUGUUCUUUGCAUGCAUAAUAUCUGUGCACAUAUAUGAACCAUCGUUCAUGCAUAUGAAUCAAUUUCUUAGAUUCACCUUUUUAUGAACUGAAAGAACGUACAAGUUUCAAAGUAGAAAAUAAUCAAUAUAUCAAGAUUUAGUUUUCUUAUGAAUACCAGAUCGAUAAAUGUUGUGUGAGCAAUUAAGGUUUACAUUUUCUCAUUUAAGGAAGCAUUCAGUUGAUAGGCCUAUGUGC
Long non-coding RNA from Triticum aestivum (bread wheat), 725 nucleotides. RefSeq lists it as uncharacterized. The record is from RefSeq and is a predicted model, not a curated record. Lineage: Eukaryota; Viridiplantae; Streptophyta; Magnoliopsida; Poales; Poaceae. The transcript has 3 exons.